UGCAAAUUUCAGGGGAACUUACUGCAUGAAGUAAGUUGAGAGGUGAAAAUCACGACCCUUAGAACUUGACCCGGCCAACACCGGCGUAAGGAGAACUAGUGUAUAAAAA
This 109-nucleotide non-coding RNA is filed under the name Bacteriovorax sp. RNAcentral describes it as "TPP sequence". It matches the Rfam family "TPP riboswitch aptamer (THI element)". Rfam says of the family: Vitamin B(1) in its active form thiamin pyrophosphate (TPP) is an essential coenzyme that is synthesised by coupling of pyrimidine and thiazole moieties in bacteria. The previously detected thiamin-regulatory element, thi box was extended, resulting in a new, highly conserved RNA secondary structure, the THI element, which is widely distributed in eubacteria and also occurs in some archaea. Lineage: Bacteria; Pseudomonadati; Bdellovibrionota; Bacteriovoracia; Bacteriovoracales; Bacteriovoracaceae. The record is from RNAcentral.